UAUAAGGACCAUUAUUUUCCUCUGUGUUUGCCAUUAUUUUUCUAUGGAAAAACACAACCAUAUGAAGGAUUUGAAGAAUGUUGGCUGUUCCAGUAAAUCUAAAUGAGAACAUAAUAUAUCAACAACAGCACGGAAAGGACUGAUAACAAAUGUUGACCCAAAUGUUUAGUUUCUUUGAAGUGUGGCAAUUUUCAGGCCAAAACAAAAUAGAGAAACAAUUAAGCUGAAGGACAAUGAAGACCGUGGCAGCCUUGCUGUCAUGUUUGCUACAGUCUGCUGAGUGACUUAAUUUCUCUGGAAAUACAGAUGAACAGUGUGGGUAGGCAUCAGGGCUGGAUGGCUGACCAUAGAAACAGGAACUAUUUAGUAAUUCAUACAGCGUGAGAUGGGCUCAUAAGAAAUACGGAGGCAGAGAACAGAUACAAGGAUAAAGACUGAAGCACCAGCGAGAGCUGGGCAUUACGACUGCCGUGUCUCAUAUGCGACUCCUCUGCGGGUCACUGGAGAUGAUCAGCCUGACAUACACAGAAUUCACUGUGGGGUCUCCUGUGCAACAAGAAUCAAAACAAUGAUGACGCCAAGGCGAAGCUGAGAGGGGUGUCUUACAUGGACAGAGCUGCUUUGAGGGUCACAGUUGGAAGACCAUUAAGAAUGCACUGAAGUACAUCCCCCCAGCAUGCUGAAUGAGGGAGGUGUUAAACAAGAGCCCUGCCAUUAUCAUUCACAUAAGUGUGUGUUUCUGUAUAUGGGUGUGUGUGUGUAUCGGGGGGUGAUUGUUAUGUCUGUUGUAGUAUGUACUCUUCAAAGCCCUCGGAUCAAUCACAAAUGAGUAAUUUCCAUGUCCUAUUUGGGUUAUGGUAUAAUUAACUGGUUCCUUUCUGUUGAAUUUCAUUGGUCUCAAUACGCAAACACAGUCCCUCCUGUUAACUCUUUAUGCUCUCCGGGAACAACAGGCAGGUGUGACCAGUAACAACAGGAUGACAGGGUUCAACACCUCUGCUCCCCACUGACUUCCUCUCACACCCCAGCUCCACAUUCAACCACACCCAGAACAACAAGCGAUACAAUUCUCAGUGUGUCUGCCAAUGUACAGUAUAUGUGGACAAAAAUGUGCAUAUGCUCUGUGUUUGUGUCUGCAGGAUGGAUGUGGGCUUGCACCCUGCUUUUAAACCUUGAAUACCUUCACUGAGUUAAUCCAUUUAACUGCAGAAGUGCUCAUGAACUCAGACAAUUGUAGUAACCCCAAACAGUCGCUGAUAACCUCUAAGCCUAACCUGUGACCUCUGACCUUAACCUCGGGGCUCUUCAAACAAGACACUGGCCUCUAGGGAUUCAACACACAUAUCUUAAUGGGUUUCUUUUUUCUUUCUCUGUUUUGCUUUCUCCUUUUUUUGGUCUCUUCUAUGUUGUUCUCCAGUCUCUGUCUGGUUUUUGUUCAAGAUAAUCCUUUAAGUCUGUUUCCUUUAGAGCCCAUCCUGAGUUUCCACAACACCGAGCCAGAGGCUGGUUGUGGUGUACACGUGAGGAGUAAACAGCAAUGCAUAGAUCUGUUUAUCUAACCUUCUCUGGGCUGGGCGAUACUUCUUGUUUUACAGCUGAUACCUACAAACUCAGAUUUUUUUAUUGCUCCCCUUUUAA
Siniperca chuatsi (mandarin fish) is the source of this 1638-nucleotide long non-coding RNA. RefSeq lists it as uncharacterized. NCBI's taxonomy places the organism in Eukaryota, Metazoa, Chordata, Actinopteri, Centrarchiformes, Sinipercidae. The record is from RefSeq and is a predicted model, not a curated record. The transcript has 3 exons.